RNAcentral lists this ribosomal RNA (765 nucleotides) under uncultured Streptococcus sp. RNAcentral's name for it is "bacterial SSU rRNA". It matches the Rfam family "Bacterial small subunit ribosomal RNA", at positions 28 to 776 of the family's 1533-position model. Lineage: Bacteria; Bacillati; Bacillota; Bacilli; Lactobacillales; Streptococcaceae. The record is from RNAcentral.
GAUGAACGCUGGCGGCGUGCCUAAUACAUGCAAGUAGAACGCUGAAGCUUGGUGCUUGCACCGAGCGGAUGAGUUGCGAACGGGUGAGUAACGCGUAGGUAACCUGCCUCUUAGCGGGGGAUAACUAUUGGAAACGAUAGCUAAUACCGCAUAAAAGUCGAUAUCGCAUGAUGUUGACUUGAAAGGUGCAAUUGCAUCACUAAGAGAUGGACCUGCGUUGUAUUAGCUAGUUGGUGAGGUAACGGCUCACCAAGGCGACGAUACAUAGCCGACCUGAGAGGGUGAUCGGCCACACUGGGACUGAGACACGGCCCAGACUCCUACGGGAGGCAGCAGUAGGGAAUCUUCGGCAAUGGGGGCAACCCUGACCGAGCAACGCCGCGUGAGUGAAGAAGGUUUUCGGAUCGUAAAGCUCUGUUGUAAGAGAAGAACGAGUGUGAGAGUGGAAAGUUCACACUGUGACGGUAACUUACCAGAAAGGGACGGCUAACUACGUGCCAGCAGCCGCGGUAAUACGUAGGUCCCGAGCGUUAUCCGGAUUUAUUGGGCGUAAAGCGAGCGCAGGCGGUUAGAUAAGUCUGAAGUUAAAGGCUGUGACUUAACCAUAGUACGCUUUGGAAACUGUUUAACUUGAGUGCAGAAGGGGAGAGUGGAAUUCCAUGUGUAGCGGUGAAAUGCGUAGAUAUAUGGAGGAACACCGGUGGCGAAAGCGGCUCUCUGGUCUGUAACUGACGCUGAGGCUCGAAAGCGUGGGGAGCAAACAGG